Molecule: non-coding RNA, 85 nt
Filed under: Saccharibacillus sacchari
Lineage: Bacteria; Bacillati; Bacillota; Bacilli; Caryophanales; Paenibacillaceae
Also listed under: 1 other name
Description: c-di-GMP sequence
Rfam family: c-di-GMP-I riboswitch aptamer
About the family: GEMM was predicted in a large-scale screen for bacterial structured RNA regulatory elements. Genes associated with GEMM are involved in a diverse array of functions, including chemotaxis regulation, signal transduction, secretion and chitin.
Source: RNAcentral
CUCAUAUUUUGGCAAACUUAUUGAAAAAUAAGGACGCAAAGCUAUAGGGACCAAAUCCGUCGGGGUAGGUCAGCCAGUUGCAUUC